CCCGGUGGUAAUACCGGAGGGGCAAUACCCGUUCCCAUCCCGAACACGGAAGUUAAGCCCUCCUGGGUCGAUGAUACUAUGGUCGUGAGGCCAUGGGAAAGUAGAUCGCUGCCGGGA
Molecule: non-coding RNA, 117 nt
Organism: Nitrospirae bacterium RBG_16_43_11
Lineage: Bacteria; Pseudomonadati; Nitrospirota
Source: Rfam